CUCUGACCCCUUUAGAAACAACCUGGUGAAGAUCAUCAUGGAGGCUGAAGGAGACCUUGAUAAGAGGGGUUUCUGUGGAUUGUUGGGCAAAAGCCAAACUGGAGCAGGAUGGCAAGAAUGGACAAUGAGGAAGGGUUGGCAGCAAGUAUUGACCACUGUUAUGAGGCAUUGGUUAUAAAAGGGGCAAAGAAAAAGGUUACAGCUGGUAUGUGGAAUCUAGGGGAGGAUUUUUUUUUUUUUUUAACAAAAGAGGACAUUCUCAGACUCACCACACACAGGAGGAAACUGUGGAAACACUUAUUCAGAAACAUACCUGAAGUUCUGACCAAAAGAGAGAUGUGAUUGUAAAUCCUGACUCAAUGGCUUUUUUUCCUGCAAAGUUAGCAAGCCUUCAUUUAGUAGAGCAUUUCAGAGCUGGCAGAUAGUACCAUUCAGUCCUCUCAUUAAACUGAGGAAUCUGAGGCUCAGAUAAAUGAGAUCUGAGAUUUGUUCUCAGAGCAGUAUUGGGUAAGGAUUAAGAAAAUGGCUUUGGGGCCAGAAAUACCUUGGAUUGAGUACCAACUCUUCUACCACUUGUUGGCUAUGUGACCUCAGUCUUCUCAUCAGUUGAGUGCGGGGAUUGUACAGUAUUUCACAGAUAAGCCUCCUGGGGGGACAUUUUCUUAUAGGGUUUGUUGUAAAAAUAAACUGAGA
This 693-nucleotide long non-coding RNA is filed under the name Homo sapiens (human). Its description in RNAcentral is "HSALNT0088569". The record is from RNAcentral. Lineage: Eukaryota; Metazoa; Chordata; Mammalia; Primates; Hominidae.